This 253-nucleotide ribosomal RNA is filed under the name uncultured bacterium. Its description in RNAcentral is "partial 16S ribosomal RNA". It matches the Rfam family "Bacterial small subunit ribosomal RNA", at positions 524 to 776 of the family's 1533-position model. The record is from RNAcentral.
GACGGAGGAUGCAAGUGUUAUCCGGAAUCACUGGGCGUAAAGCGUCUGUAGGUGGUCAAAUAAGUCAACUGUUAAAUCUUGAGGCUCAACCUCGAAAUCGCAGUCGAAACUAUUAGACUAGAGUAUAGUAGGGGUAAAGGGAAUUUCCAGUGGAGCGGUGAAAUGCGUAGAGAUUGGAAAGAACACCGAUGGCGAAGGCUCUUUACUGGGCUAUUACUAACACUCAGAGACGAAAGCUAGGGUAUCAAAUGGG